AAGAACGGACCUCCGGAAUGAAUUAAGUUCUUAACCCGAGGUACCACUGUAUUUGAAAUGGGAACUGUAGUUGCUCCCAAGACUUCCAGAUACAGUGGUACCUCGGGUUAAGUACUUAAUUCAUCCCGGAG
This 131-nucleotide microRNA precursor is filed under the name Podarcis lilfordi (Lilford's wall lizard). Lineage: Eukaryota; Metazoa; Chordata; Lepidosauria; Squamata; Lacertidae. The record is from RNAcentral.